RNAcentral lists this long non-coding RNA (10589 nucleotides) under Populus trichocarpa (black cottonwood). Its description in RNAcentral is "long non-coding RNA (PTRI_LNC002952)". The record is from RNAcentral. Lineage: Eukaryota; Viridiplantae; Streptophyta; Magnoliopsida; Malpighiales; Salicaceae.
CCGGUUGGAGAAUUUUCUUCCCCUUUCACAGCCGCUGCACCACUCCAACCGGCGCUUCAUUUCCUUUCAUUUUCCAGUCGGUUCCCCCAUUUUCUUCUCCUUGGCCAGCCAACAACACAAAACCCCAUUCAUUUUUCCAGCAGCGGCUCCCACUCCAUUUUCCUUCACACAAGCCGCUGCUCCCCUUUCCCCAAGUUUUCCCUUCGGUUUCUUCUUCCCUCUCUACCUCUCCAGCUUUCCCACGGGCCUUCCUUCUCCCUCUCGACAACAGAGCCCCCACACACCCAUCUCCUUCCCACAGCAGCCGACCACCACAUCCGAAGACCAGCCCCUUCACUCUCCCCUAUCGCCGGCAGUUUCGGCCUCCAUCACAGACCGAGCCAGGUCUCCUCUCCGUUUUCUUCCUCAGCGCCCCCGUCAGCUCCAGUGUUGCCGAAGCCAUCGCCAGCAAUCCAAGCCCGGUCGAACAGCCUCCAGCGGCAGCAACCAUCAGACAGCCUCCACACCGUCAGCUAGCAGCGCCGUUCCUGCCCGGCCACGGAUCCACCAUCGGCCAGCAGCACCGUUCCUGCCCGGCCACGGAUCCACCAUCGGCCAGCAGCGCCGCUCGAAGCAGAGGAGAAGGAGAUGAAAUCCAUGAGACAGAGAAGAGAUGAGGCAGGGAAAAGGAGCGGAUCUGAAGAGAAGUGGAGAAGAUCUGGAAAAAUGAAGCCGAUUGAAAAACAAAGAACAAGACUGAAAUCAAUUUGCUUUGUUGCGUUUUUUGGAUUACUUUGCAGGACAACAUCGUUGCAGAAGGGGAGAGGAAGAGAAAUCGUCCCGGAUCUGCCCAUCUCUUGGCUUGUGCCAGCGGUUCACGCGCCGCCAGCAGCGGUGGCGCGUUGGGGAACGCGCUGCCACUGUUCCAUUGGUUCCAGAGGGCUUCCUGACACUGUUCCGGGUUGUUUUGGGUCAUUGUUUUAAUUUUCAAAUUGAUUAAUGUAAUAUUUGUUUAGUUUGAAUUUUUAUUUGUAUGUUGUAAAUUUGGAUGUAACAAAAAAAAAAAAAAAAAAAGAAAAGGAAAAAAUAUAGUGAAAGUGUAUGUGAGUUUGUAUUUUUUUAAUGUAUGUUAUUGAAUCAAAAAAAUGAAUUUAAUAUUUAUACGCACAAAUAUCUAAAGGACAGAUAAAAAUCAUGUUGUAUUUCCCAUGAAAAUGUAGAACAUGUAUCUACAUAUAUUUUGGGAACUAAUAACUGAUUUAUCAAAGCCUUAGAAUUGGGCUAAAAUUUUAUUUUUAAAAACACAUCAAGUCCACGAAGCAGCUUACCUCAGGUAGGGUGCGUUAGGGGUGCUAAUACCUUCCCUAACCACAACCAGUCCCUUACCCGUGAAUCUCUGACGAGACCAGUACAUCAGGUUUCCUAGUAGCCCUCAAUCAAUUACUAGGUGGCGACUCCAACAAACCAAUCAAAUCAAAACGACAAACGAAAAAUCGCCAGCCGAUGCCGCGCGGAUUUUUUUGACGUGCGACAGAAUGGCGACUCCACUGGGGAAGGUAUUGUUUUCAACUUUAUUGGACUAAGCUUUGUGUUUUUGAUGUGUUUAAUUUUUUUUUUGCUUUUUGUCUUUUUUUUUUUAUUCAUGCAUUGUAUAAAAUUGUCUCAUGCAUCACAUGUUUUAUUUUUUGAAAGCACACACAAGCUUCAGGUUAGGUGGGGGACUAGCAGCUUGCCUUAUGACUUGAGUCAAGGUUUAAGUUUGUGUAAACCCCAACUCUUUGCUGAGUGUUUAGACUGAUAGUGAUUGGUACAUGUGCCAUCUCAUUGCCUACAAGCCCCUAUAUUGCCUUCAAGAGGGUAAUCACUGGGACAACGAGAGACCCUUUUUAGAGACCAAGUAGUAAACCUACCUUCUGUCUCACUUAAAAAGAUUAGAACCUACCUUUAGGAUGGGUGCUCCGUAUAUAUUGCUUUGCAUCAGGGCAAACCCUUCUUGAAGCAUCUUGAACUCAAGACUUUUGGGUGACCCAAUGGCCGUCACUCAGAAAAUUUUCAUUGUAGAGUUUGGGCGAGAAUCAAGAUUCUUGUUUCAUCAUACAAGAGUUACGACCAUAUGUCACCCCUCGAAGGGCGAGUUCAUCAUAUAGUUUACAUGUUCAUACAUUUAUCAUACAUGUACCGAAAGGAAAAAUAGGUUCCCCUUUCCGAGGUUUACUCCACUGGACGGAAAAAGAUGGAUAAUAAAGAAAGGGGUUAGAGAGAGGCUCAUUGUCAAAAUGAAGUUGAGAGCAUCAAAGGUGAAGUAGCUAGACUCAGAUCUCCCUGAACAAGUGUUGAGCAUCAAAUGGAAAGAGAAUGUCUGCACGAUCUUCUAUGGGAACACUGUUUGUCCACGUCCGAUGGAAGUUGCACCUCUUUUUUUCAGCCAUUAAUAACCGCAGCAAUGCCCUCAGUCAUCAACUAAUGACAACUUUUGUUCUUGGUCAGUUGCCCUGUUAAUUGUUCAUCACCUCCACAUCUUUCAAUGACACCAAAUAAUUGCUAGCCUUCUGUGCAUGGUGCAUUAGCCUUCUUUGAAGUUACCUCUACUAUGAGCUCAAUUCCAGUUCAGCAGCACAAAAUGUAAAAAACCCAUGAUUAUACACUGAACUUCUAUGUGGCAGAGCUCUCUCUGUAGAGAUUUGUUUGGGGAUCUGCUAGUGGGAAAUGCAAGAGGGGAUGCAGUACUUUCAUACGCUACAAAACUUUGGCUCAUCAGUUUCAGCACUGAAACACUGGAGUAAGCCGAAGAGUCAGACCUAGUCUGAAAACAUGAGCAGUCGUCGAACUUUGACGUGUUAGAGCUCUCUCUACAAAAACCCGUUUAUGGCUCUGCAAGUGGGGAAUGCAAGAGGGGAUGUAGUAGUUUCAAACGAUAUGAAAACUUACCCUACCAGUUUCAGCAUCGAAAAACUGUAGUAGGCAGAAAAGCCAGACUUGAGCUAGAAAACAGGAGCAAAUAUAGAGCUUCACCGUGGCAGAGCUCUCUCCGCAGAAAUCUGUUUGUGGCUCUGUAAGUGGAGAAUCCAAGAAGGGAUGCAGUAGUUUCUGAUCAUCUAUAAUUUUCUCUCAUCGGUGUUAGCUUGAAAAUGCAAAAGUAGGGAAAAGAGAUAAGCCUCAGCUGAAAAUAGAAAGAAGAUUGAAACUUCAACAGAGCAGAGCUCCCUCUACAGGUGUCUGUUUGCUGCACCGUCAGUGAGGAAUCAAAGAGGAGACAAAGGAGUUUUAGAUUCAUCAGGUUCUCUUCCAGUUUUGACAAUGUGUGAUUCCACACGUCGGUAAUGGCGAUGCCACAUGUUUCUGGGCACUGCCAAGAUUACCAAGCUAUUGAAAGGUUUCCAACAACCCUCAACCAACCACAACAACAUUGAAAUAUUGACAUGAAGUUGUGUGGAUUGCCAAAAGAAUUGAGCUAGCUAUCAAGAGAGGAAAGAUUGAAGGAUCUACCAUGGAUUCCAUAACAGUGAUGAGAGUUGAAUCAGAAGAUGACUCUCAAUUGAGAAAACUCAGUCAUUUUGCCUUGCCAUAACAUCAACUGCUCAAAUGUCUUUGCCAAGAUUGACAUUCAUCUGCCGCUCAAGUUGGCUUACCAGCACCUGUCAGGUUCCAAACUUUUUGCCUGACUCCGACAAAUCCCAUGCAACCAUCAUUUUCUAGGUGGUAUAAUUUCCUAAGGGGUAUAAGCCAGGCGAGAUGUGAAAAUCAUUACGGGUUCCUCGGCCAUUUCAAUUGAACAGUUGCAAGAAUUUCAAGAAUCGAGACCGGAUGAUAGUUUCAAGAAUCGAGCUGAGUUUGUGAAAGAUGAUGUCAUCGAUCAUUUUGUCACCAGAACAUCAUCAGAAUAACAAGUGAUCGAAGUUGCUCGGCAAAACACAGAUAUGGCCAGAAAAGCUGAUCCAAGAAUGGUGCUGAACUGUCAAUCAUUUUUGUUAUGGAUUUUGCCAUCUUGCAUUUUGUUUUGAGGUCACAUCUCAUCCUUGAACGAAACAUAUAUUUUCUUUGUCUUUUUGUUGUUUUGAAAUCAAGAGAUGCUUCUUUCAAAGGGUAUUUUGACAAAAAUAAUUUUGUUGAUCAAACUCCAACAUACAAAAUUAAAGCUAGUCAAUCCUGAAGAUUAAAAGUGUUUUGAUUGCGGAAAUGACUUGAUGCUUGAAAAUGACAUGAGGUGACCAAACAAUUUUGAACUCAUACCUCCUGAAACUGAACCACACAUCAUAUAGCUAGUUUUAGCAAUAUGCAUAAUGACACGUAGGGGAUUCAGUAGUUAUGGACUCGUGAAUCAUGACUCUACAGUUCUAAUCAUUACACUAGAUGAUGUCAAAAUUUAUCGGUUCUAACCGACCUUGCUUGAAACGAGAAAAGGCCAUCUUUGUUAUCCUUUCACAUUUCUUGAAAUAUUAUCCCUUGCAGUCCCAUUUUGAGCCUGGUAAAAUAUUUUCUUUCAAGAAGAAACCCUGACUAGGAUCACACCCUACACCUGGGGCAAUGAGAGAUAUGUUAUUAGGAAGGAUGAAGACACUAAUAGAAUCAAUGAUAAAAGAAAGGCUUAGAAUAAAAGCCCAAUGAUUGAGAAAGAGAGAACAAGAAAAGCCAUAGAUUGAGGGCCAUCCAAGAAAUCUUUGAGGAAGGUUAUGUAAAAGCAAAAAAAAGUGGAAAUGAAGGAGAAUGCCUAUCAAUUCUAAGAGGGGCAAAAGAGGUUUCAAUGGAAGAAAGACACAACAAAUGUCAAAAGUCAACACCAAAAAUCAAGUUUCAUGUCUUUUGGUGUGUCUAGGAUAAAGCCUUUAGUGUUUUCAAAAAAAUUUAGAUUCAUCAUUCAUCAGAGAUAAAGUUGGAUUAGCAUUAUGACCUAUGUUAAGAGAAUUCUGAUAUUUGAGAUUAACAAGGUUAUAUAUCACUUUCUCUACUAUGACAACAAGAGAAAGAGAGUUGAUGAAUAGUUGAUGUUGAUCCUAGGUCUUUGAAACCCUGCAACACCUUUUGAGCUUGCGAAAUCCCUUUCUUACAUAGCCAUGAACCAUAGCCUGCAUUACGUGCUUUUAAAAGCCCUUUUUGAUCAAGUAAGCAAUUUGAACCGAUAAAUGGCGCUCUCAAAACUUGAAGAGUUUUUUUUCAUAAGAGUCGUGGCUUCAUGAAUUAAGCUACUGGUUAUUAUGCAUGCUGAUAAAAUUGGUGCUAAAAAAAAACAAUCUUUCUUGAUGAAUCCUCAAGUUUUGACUUGAGCCUUUUGUUUUCCUUGAAAUUCACAGAAGGUCACCUCAUUGCAGACCGUGAAAAGAUAUACACAAGAUCAAAGAUUAAAACUGACAUAAAGAACCAUGAAAAAAGUCAUUUUAAACUUACAAUGGGUCAUUUCUGUUUUCAAAAUACAAGACAAUCAAAGGACUAUAUUGAAUAGUGUGUGUUGGGUCUUUGACCAAAAAGCUUGAUUUUCAAAAGAUCUUUUCCAAAAUUGAUAUCUCUUUGAUUUCAUUUCAACAAUUAGACUCGAAUUGACAUGAUCUUUGAAAUAUGAGAGUUGAUUCCAGAACAAGAAAUAUUGUUAAACAACAAGAACAUCGACCAAAUUUGCAAAAUCCUUGACAAGAAUGACAUCAACAUUUCUCGACACUCCUUAAAAAGUUGACCACCUGGAGGCAAUACAGUGGAUCAUGGGUAGGAAAACAAACAGUAUUUAGAUCAGCUGGGGGCAAUGAAAGAUGAUCAAAUGAUGAAUCAAUGCACUGAGGACAACGGUGUUUAAAGAAAUGCUAAUCAGCAGAACAAGCAUUCAGAUCAUUAUCGGGGGCAAUGUUGUUCAAAAACAUUCCAUGAUCUAGUGAACUCUAGCAGCAAUUGAAAACAACGCUGCAAUUGAGGGACAACCUCGUAUCUUCAUCUUGGGGUUACCCUUUGAAACAUGGCUAUGACAAAUGUUAUCGCAUCGUUGCAUUGGAAUGAAUGUCAGAAAGAUGCACACCACCAAGACUGACUGUGGGACCAUCUAUUCUGAAGCUCAAAUGUGCAAUUCACCGUAUGAAUAUGGGUGAUAACAUGAACAUCAUUGAUGAUGUCGAGACAUUUCUUUCCACUAUCUGAUUUGACAAGCUGAGAGGAAUCCAUGAGAAAGAACAUUGAGCAUACAACGAUGAGUCUUUCACUGCAAGCUAUGAGAUGCAUGUCUGGACGACUGGAUGAUUUCAAUGAAGACUGAUGAUAACAUAUACUUGAAGAGUAUUGUUUCAACUGGGGGCAAGUUCAUGACUGAUUGACCAUCUUGAUGGGUGUUGGCAUGAUGCACACAACCAAUCAGAAGAUAAUUUUCAGAAGAAUCCAGGAGAGAAAAUCCUUCAUGAUGAAUCAAGCAACACCACACUUGGGGGCAGAGUCAAGCUUGAUAAAUAACGAGAGCAGUAAUCGUCGUAGACAGCCCGAGAUGGGCACUGCACUUACAUUUGAGUGGAAGGCUAGCACACGAAUGAGCCAGUACAUGGGAAGAACAAAGAAGGCUUUGGUUAGCAAACAAAGGCACCCUAUAACGAUGGAUCAUCAAAGGGGGGGACCUAUAUUUCACAUCAGGUAAGGAUGCAUGCAUGUCAUCUAACCUCAAAGCAUUGCACAUACUUGUGAUUUGUUACAGAAAGAUCCUCAAUGAAGUCCAGCAAGGUUGUGGACAAAGAAAGAAUCAUUGAGUUGAUGAUGACAAAGAAUCGGUUUAGAUCCUGGAACAAGAAGAGAAUGAGAUGAACCCUGCCAGUAGGAGAAUCUCAAAGAAACGAGGAGAUUAACCCCGUCAUCAAGGAGUCUUCAAGUCAACCUGCAACCAGAAGGUGCCAAGUUUCUCAACCUUGUCCUGUCAGGACUGCUCCAACCAAGUCUUUUUGUCAGGUAAGUCACAUUCUAUCUUUGGGUAGGUCACCCGUAACAAUGAGACCAUUUUUUUGAAAAAAAAAACAUCAUUUUUCUGGGUAGGUCACCCAUCACAAUGAGACCACCAUCUUCCAUUUGGGUAGGUCACCCAUUAUAACGCGACCACUUCACAUUUUUUUUUUCUAUCUUCCACCUGGGUAGGUCACCUAUUAUAACGCGACCACUUCACAUUUUUUCUAUCUUCCACCUGGGUAGGUCACCCAUUAUAAUGAGACCGCAUUUCACAUUCUUUCCACCUGGGUAGGUCACCCAUAACAAUGAGACCACUUCAUAUUUUUCUCAUCUUCCAUUUGGGUAGGUCACCCAUAACAAUGAGACCACUUCAUAUUUUUUCUAUCCUCCACCUGGGUAGGUCACCCAUUAUAACGCGGCCACGUCAUAUUUUUUCUAUCCUCCACCUGGGUAGGUCACCCAUUAUAACGCGGCCACGUCAUAUUUUUUCUAUCCUCCACCUGGGUAGGUCACCCAUUAUAACGCGACCACUUCAUAUUUUUUCUAUCUUCCAUCUGGGUAGGUCACCCAUUAUAAUGAGACCGCACUUCACAUUCUUUCCAUUUGGGUAGGUCACCCAUCAUAAUGAGACCGUUUUUCACAUAUUUUCCACUUGGGUAGGUCACCCAUCAUAAUGAGACCAUCAUUUUUUUUCCUGGGUAGGUCACCCAUUAGAAUGAGACCAUUCUCCAUCUUUUUUACUUGGGUAGGUCACCCAUUAUAACGAGGCCAUUCUUCCCCCUGGGUAGGUCACCCAUAAGAAUGAGACCACUCUUCCCCUUUUCCACUUGGGUAGGUCACCCAUCACAAUGAGACCAUUUUUUCUGGGUAGGUCACCCAUUAGAAUGAGACCAUUCUCCAUCUUUUUUUUUACUUGGGUAGGUCACCCAUUAUAAUGAGGCCAUUCUUCCCCCUGGGUAGGUCACCCAUAAGAAUGAGACCACUCUUCCCCUUUUCCACUUGGGUAGGUCACCCAUGACAAUGAGACCAUUUUUUCUGGGUAGGUCACCCAUUAGAAUGAGACCAUUCUCCAUCUUUUUUAUUACUUGGGUAGGUCACCCAUUAUAAUGAGGCCAUUCUUCCCCUGGGUAGGUCACCCAUAAGAAUGAGACCACUCUUCCCUUCUUUCCAUUUGGGUAGGUCACCCAUCAUAAUGAGACCGUUUUUCACAUUCUUUCUACCAGGGUAGGUCACCCAUUACAAUGAGACCACUUUUUACACAUUUUUUAGUCUUGAUUUAAUGAGGUCGCCAGAUGGGAUCUCAUGUAACUUUGGUUAAAGGGAAUCGCCAGAUGAGAUUUCAGGUUGACCGAGUUACACACUUAUUCUUUGUUUUGGUUUAAUGAGGUCGCCAGAUGGGAUCUCAUGUAGCUUUGGUUAAAGGAAAUCGCCAGAUGGGAUUUCAGGUUGACCGAGUUACGCAUAUUCUUUGUUUUGAUUUAAUGAGGUCGCCAGAUGGGAUCUCAUGUAGCUUUGGUUAAAGGGAAUCGCCAGAUGGGAUUUCAGGUUGACCGAGUUACACACUUAUUCUUUGUUUUGGUUUAAUGAGGUCGCCAGAUGGGAUCUCAUGUAGCUUUGGUUAAAGGGAAUCGCCAGAUGGGAUUUCAGGUUGACCGAGCUACACACAUUCUUUGGUUUUGAAAAAGGAGAUCGCCAAAUGGGAUCUCAAGUUAACGAAAGAAAGAAAGAAAGAAAGAAGAGGAAAAAAAAAAGAAACAUUUAGAGUUUUUCUUUACAAAGCUUACUAUGCGAAACAUUGAGGAGUUUUGCUUCGUAAGCAUUGUAAAGAGGGGGCAUCUGUUGCUACUCAAUUUUUGACCCAUGUUUUGAUAAAUUUUCAAAAAAAUCCAAAAAUAGCGAAAAACAUUGAAAAUCCAAAAAAAAUACAUUUUUAAUACAUUUGCAUCGUUUUUAGCAUUUUUAGCAUCGUCUCAAAAGAAUUUAAAUUUUCAAAGACAUUUGGAACGCGUUCAACUUUUAACGUGUUAUUUUUAAAAUCAUUGAUUUUCUUCAUUGAGUCGACGUUGAUAUUGCUCGCUUUCAAAAAUACAAAAAAAUAAGAAAAAUCAAAAUUUAUAAAAAAAAAAGAGGAAAAGAGAAGAAAGGAAAGGUUGAGGGACUAGUUUGAAAACCUAGCAAAAUUUUUCCUAUAAAUACCAUGCUAUACUGAUUUUGUGAGAGGGGGGCAAUUUUGACAAUAUCAGGAAAAAAUACAAAAAAUACCUAACCCUAAACCCAUCUUUUUCUCUAGAGCCGCCGCCCCCCCCGGUUGGAGAAUUUUCUUCCCCUUUCACAGCCGCUGCACCACUCCAACCGGCGCUUCAUUUCCUUUCAUUUUCCAGUCGGUUCCCCCAUUUUCUUCUCCUUGGCCAGCCAACAACACAAAACCCCAUUCAUUUUUCCAGCAGCGGCUCCCACUCCAUUUUCCUUCACACAAGCCGCUGCUCCCCUUUCCCCAAGUUUUCCCUUCGGUUUCUUCUUCCCUCUCUGCCUCUCCAGCUUUCCCACGGGCCUUCCUUCUCCCUCUCGACAACAGAGCCCCCACACACCCAUCUCCUUCCCACAGCAGCCGACCACCACAUCCGAAGACCAGCCCCUUCACUCUCCCCUAUCGCCGGCAGUUUCGGCCUCCAUCACAGACCGAGCCAGGUCUCCUCUCCGUUUUCUUCCUCAGCGCCCCCGUCAGCUCCAGUGUUGCCGAAGCCAUCGCCAGCAAUCCAAGCCCGGUCGAACAGCCUCCAGCGGCAGCAACCAUCAGACAGCCUCCACACCGUCAGCUAGCAGCGCCGUUCCUGCCCGGCCACGGAUCCACCAUCGGCCAGCAGCGCCGCCCAAAGCAGAGGAGAAGGAGACGAAAUCCAUGAGACAGAGAAGAGAUGAGGCAGGGAAAAGGAGCGGAUCUGAAGAGAAGUGGAGAAGAUCUGGAAAAAUGAAGCCGAUUGAAAAACAAAGAACAAGACUGAAAUCAAUUUGCUUUGUUGCGUUUUUUGGAUUACUUUGCAGGACAACAUCGUUGCAGAAGGGGAGAGGAAGAGAAAUCGUCCCGGAUCUGCCCAUCUCUUGGCUUGUGCCAGCGGUUCACGCGCCGCCAGCAGCGGUGGCGCGUUGGGGAACGCGCCGCCACUGUUCCAGUGGUUCCAGAGGGCUUCCUGACACUGUUUCGGGUUGUUUUGGGUCAUUGUUUUAAUUUUCAAAUUGAUUAAUAUAAUAUUUGUUUAGUUUGAAUUUUUAUUUGUAUGUUGUAAAUUUGGAUGUAACAAAAAAAAAAAAAAAAAAAAAAGAAAAGGAAAAAAUAUAGUGAAAGUGUAUGUGAGUUUGUAUUUUUUUAAUGUAUGUUAUUGAAUCAAAAAAAUGAAUUUAAUAUUUAUACGCACAAAUAUCUAAAGGACAGAUAAAAAUCAUGUUGUAUUUCCCAUGAAAAUGUAGAACAUGUAUCUACAUAUAUUUUGGGAACUAAUAACUGAUUUAUCAAAGCCUUAGAAUUGGGCUAAAAUUUUAUUUUUAAAAACACAUCAAGUCCACGAAGCAGCUUACCUCAGGUAGGGUGCGUUAGGGGUGCUAAUACCUUCCCUAACCACAACCAGUACCUUACCCGUGAAUCUCUGACGAGACCAGUAUAUCAGGUUUCCUAGUAGCCCUCAAUCAAUUACUAGGUGGCGACUCCAACAAAC